GUGCCUGCAGCCGCGGUAAUACGGAGGGGGUUAGCGUUGUUCGGAAUUACUGGGCGUAAAGCGCACGUAGGCGGGUCAGAAAGUUGGAGGUGAAAUCCCGGGGCUCAACCCCGGAACUGCCUCCAAAACUACUGGUCUAGAGUUCGAGAGAGGUGAGUGGAAUUCCGAGUGUAGAGGUGAAAUUCGUAGAUAUUCGGAGGAACACCAGUGGCGAAGGCGGCUCACUGGCUCGAUACUGACGCUGAGGUGCGAAAGUGUGGGGAGCAAACAGGAUUAGAUACCCGGGUAGUCC
RNAcentral lists this ribosomal RNA (292 nucleotides) under uncultured bacterium. RNAcentral's name for it is "partial 16S ribosomal RNA". It matches the Rfam family "Bacterial small subunit ribosomal RNA", at positions 505 to 796 of the family's 1533-position model. The record is from RNAcentral.